Molecule: long non-coding RNA, 1313 nt
Filed under: Medicago truncatula (barrel medic)
Lineage: Eukaryota; Viridiplantae; Streptophyta; Magnoliopsida; Fabales; Fabaceae
Description: long non-coding RNA (MTRU_LNC000532)
Source: RNAcentral
AUUUGUUUAUUUAGCAGUACUCACACAAACCUUUUUUUGCUAUUUAUUGCGGAAUCUAUGGUUCCUUUUUUUCUAGGCUUAAUUGAUCUGCCGAUCCCUUAACUUAUUUCUUUUAUUCAAUUUGGUCUCAUAAGUGUUAAGUUUCUCAAACACGUCCCUUAACUUAUUUCUUUUAUUCAAUUUGGUUCAAUUUUGAUAAUUUUAAUCCCUAAAAAAUGACACCGUUGGAUUACGGAGGUCCAUCAGAGUUUAUAGUGUAUCACCAACACCUAAUUUAUUCACUUUCUUCUUCUUCAUCACUAAAUCCAGCAAAUAUCACCAUCUUCAUCGUAAAAAAUCCAGAAAAAUUAAAAAAUUAAACAAUUCAUUCAUCACUUCUUAGGUAAACCGUUAUUUGUCAAAACAGAAGCUUUGUAAUAACAGGUGUUCUUCAUAAAAUAAAAAUAAUAAUCAACAAUUUCAAGGUGCCGUUUUGGUUCAUCGGUGGUGCUCCGAUGAUGGUCCUUAUUUUAUUCUCUCCGUUUUCACUUGUUUUUCUCCGUUAAGCAAGGUUCCGACUCUAUCUCUCUUCAAGAUCUUGCUUUCUCUGGCGCGGUCUUGUUCGAUUCUACUGGCUCGAAGCUCGUGGAGCUCUUUCUUUGAUUUUGGUGUUCUGGGUGUGGUUCUCUCAAACCUGGUACUAUGAGUUUUGUCUCUCCGGUGAGGUUUUGUUGGUUCCUCUUGAUUUGAAAUUUGUGCAGGUUUCAUGAAGGUCAAUUCUUGGUGAUUCGACGACAUUCUAGGUGUUGUUCAUUCAUCUUUGGUGUUAUGGACUUUGCUUCUAUAGCGAGAUUCCGUUCGUACCUCUUGAUUUGAAGUUGGUCACGAUUGUUUUGAAGUUACUCCAGGCCUGCGAUUUCCUUGUUGAAGUUAAUUUGUUGUUGGAUAUGGUUUGUCUGUGGAAAUUUCUUGAGCCACCGAAGGAGGUGACGCCGGAAAACCCCGCCUUAAAGUCAAUUUGGUUUACAGUACUUACAAUAGUCAAUUCCAUCACGUAUGUACGAUGUUAAUGAUGAGUUUAGUUGUUAUAAUGUUUUGAUCUUUUGAGAUGUUUUUUUUUUUUUUUUUGAGAAAAUCUUUUGAGAUGUUGUUAAAGAGAGAAGAUGAAGUUUAUUGUUUUUACUGAGUUUUAUUGAUGAAUAUUGAUGAAGAUGAGGGAAGAAGAAGAAGAAGAAAGUAAAUAAAUUCGAUAGACCUUCGUAACGGUUUCUUUUUUUUUUUGGAUUAAAAUCAUCAAAAUUUGCCCAAAUUGAAUAAAAAAAAAAUUAAGGGAC